GGACUGCCACCAAUUAGGAGGCAAGUGGGCGUGUUCGGGGCAGACUAAAUAUACAAGAGCCAUUGCGCUAUAGUCUACACUCUUCCUUCCUGUCGCUUCUCUUUUGUUUCAGUCGUUGUCGAGUUAAAAAGGGAGAGUCACCAUGCACAAGUCCGAGGCACCCAACGAGCCAGAGCAACUCCGCAAGCUGUUCAUUGGAGGCUUGAGUUUUGAAACCACAGAUGAAAGUCUCCGCGAGCACUUUGAGCAAUGGGGCACCCUUACAGACUGUGUGGUUAUGAGGGAUCCAAACUCAAAACGUUCCCGUGGCUUUGGAUUUGUUACAUACUUAUCUACAGAUGAAGUAGAUGCUGCCAUGACUGCUCGCCCACAUAAAGUGGAUGGGCGAGUGGUUGAACCUAAAAGGGCUGUCUCUAGAGAGGAUUCCUCUAGGCCUGGUGCACACCUCACCGUAAAGAAAAUCUUUGUAGGUGGUAUCAAGGAGGACACAGAAGAAGAUCAUUUACGAGAAUAUUUCGAGCAAUAUGGCAAAAUUGAAGUUAUAGAGAUAAUGACUGACCGAGGCAGUGGCAAGAAAAGAGGCUUUGCAUUUGUCACAUUUGAAGAUCAUGAUUCCGUUGACAAGAUUGUCAUCCAGAAAUAUCACACCGUCAACAACCACAAUUGUGAAGUGCGGAAGGCACUCUCCAAACAGGAAAUGGCAAGUGUUUCUGGCAGUCAGAGAGGACGUGGUGGCUCUGGAAACUAUGGAAGCCGUGGUGGGUUUGGUAAUGAUAACUUUGGUGGUCGUGGUGGCAACUUUGGUGGCAACAGAGGAGGAGGGGGUGGAUUUGGUAAUCGAGGUUAUGGUGGAGACGGCUACAAUGGUGAUGGCAAUUAUGGUGGCAGCCCUCCCUACUCGGGUGGUAACCGAGGCUAUGGUGCUGGCCAAGGAGGUGGAUAUGGUGCUGGCCAAGGAGGUGGAUAUGGUGGUGGUGGCCAAGGAGGUGGAUAUGGUGGAAAUGGAGGAUACGAUGGUUAUAAUGGCGGAGGCAGUGGCUUCAGUGGCUCUGGUGGUAACUUUGGUAGCAGUGGGGGAUAUAACGACUUUGGCAACUACAACAGUCAGUCAUCAUCCAACUUUGGCCCAAUGAAAGGUGGAAAUUAUGGUGGUGGCAGAAAUUCUGGACCAUAUGGAGGUGGCUAUGGCGGAGGGUCUGCUAGCAGCAGUAGCGGAUAUGGCGGUGGGAGGAGGUUUUAAUUUUUCCACAGGAAGCAAUGCUUAGCAGCAGAGGACAGCCAGGCAAGCGACAGGUUACUACAAAAGUUGAAUUCAGCCAAGCACAGGUGUGGCAGGCAUAGCUGCUACAUGAAGAAAUGUUAGCGAAUCAGUAACCAAUGAGGAAAACGCAGGACUAUUUGUCACACAUUAAUUGUAUGAAGAAAUAAGUUUGUUUUGUGACCAUGUUUUGGCUUUUUUUUAAUGCAUAGGUUCCUUUAUAUGAAAGCUGCCUUUUAUUUUAUUUUUUUUUUUUCUCCUUGUGGUCAUGCUGUUGAACUGUACAAAUCUUGAUCAUGACUAAAUAAAUUGUCCCCUUUUUUUAAAAAUGUGUAGGGUAAUUUUGAGGAGAUUUGAUGUAGGAGACGUGCGUUUGUUUGGUUUUAGCAUUGCUUCGACAAAUUUAGGCUACUGUCCAGGGUGAAUCUUAAACCUAGACGACAGGUGCAGCCAGUACAGUUUUUUUGCCACGUUACAACUUCCAAAUUUGAGCUUCUUAAAGGACAAGUUUGCCCUUAAACUCAGUAUGACCUAUUUGAAACUGCAGUUUAAGAUCUGCUUGUUGGGGUCAUAGGUCGCUCGUUUUCCAUUAGAAAGUCUAACCUUUUCUAGUUGUUAGGUCAAUUAAACCCUAGCAACCAGAACUGUUGGGGUAAAUGGUCGCCGAGUGUACAGCCUGCUUUCCUCCACCUGUUUUGUAGGCAGACUACGAGAAGCUGAUAAACUCCUAAUAAACUUGUUAGUUUGUGUAAUGCCACUGCAGCUACACAUCAGAAAGCAUGCAGUUUUCAUUCUAAGUUGGGCUGUGUGUAUCUGCACUGUGGCUGCUGUGCCUGUCUGUGGGGCUGAAGUGGGCUAUACACCAAUGUACUGUCUACUGCUCCAGCUUUUCUGUUGUACAAUAGUUUUUUGUUUAGGGUCCAGCAUCUAAACUACUACUAUCUACAGUACAAACAUAAGUAAAAUGUGAUGCCAAUACCAGGCUCUUGUUCCUCACACCUGCAAAACACAAGUUGAGGGCCGCUGUAAAAGUAAAAUAUGUUAACAGUAGAAAUAAAUCUACUGCUCCGUGGUUUUACUUUAUACCAGUACUUGUGCGACACCUUGUGUAAUGUUUUUAAGGGAGUUGGACAGAGCCACAUGCACCUACCCAAAAUAGAUUUUUGCUUAUUUUAAUAACGGUUUGGCACAGCAUCUAGCUCUUCUGUCUGCAGCAACUUUUUUUUUAUAUAUAUAUAUAAUUUAUCUGGAGGGGAGUGCUAAGAGGACUACGGUGAUGCCUGGAGCCUCUGCAGCAGUGCAUCUUGGCAAGGACGUUGCUUUUUUUCUGCUGUCAAAUCUUCUACAUAGUGGCAGAAUACUGGUUAACAUAUAUAAAUUGCUAAAAGCAGAACUUAAAUGGCUGCCAUAAAGGAGAAGGAUAGUUACAGAGGCAGUUUGUCAAUAGAUUAGCCACAAUCGUGCAAGAUAGAAUGCUAUCUUUACUCUGGUAUGGUGAAGCAUUCUGCAGAAUAAACGGCUCUAGAAGCUCUGUUUAGGAUAGCAGCUGCCAUAUUAGCUUGGUGAGACCUCACUUCCUGCCUGAGUCUCCCUGCUCUCUCAUAGCUCUGGGCACAGCAGGGAGUGUGGGAGAGGAGUAAAUUGAGCAUGCCCUAGCCCUGGAGGUUUAAACUGAAAAAAGUCUGAUACAGAAGCCCAUGUGUACACAAUAGAAGGAAAGAAAUUAGGUGUUCCUUUUGACAGAGCACUCUGAGAAGCAUUACUUUGAGGGUUUACUGGUGUAUAUAUAUAUAAAUGUUAGUUUUUAACCUUUCCUUCUCCUUUAAUGUAAUAUUUGUGGCUAGACGCAGCAUAGUGGCGGGAACACCAUCCUUUCAAAUUUAUUGCCUUUAGUCAAGUAGAGCCAAGGCCAACUUUGGGAUUCCCAUCCGGGGGAAAAAAGCCAAAUCUCUUUGCUGCCUCCCAUCUGUAUAAUGAAAGCCAUCUGUAAAACACAGGCUGGGGGUGGUUUUGACUAAAAUGUAGCUGUUUUUAGUGGUGAGGGGCAAUAUCCACUACACACAGUGAGAACCCAUUUUGGGUAAUUCUGCCAUAUGGAAUGGACAUUGGCCUGAAUUGGGAGGUUAGCCUAAAUGUUUAUAAUAAAAAGGUAUUUACAAUAAAAAGGCAUUAUUACUAGUAAUGAGAUGGGACCAUUUUGUGUUUUUUUUUUUUUAAUUUUUUUUUUUUUUUGGGGGGGAGAAAUGAAAUUCCCUCUGUAGCUCCUUGCGUAUCAGCAGUUAUACAGUAAAAUUUUAAAGGAAAUGCUUAUUACAGUAUUGGGCUCCUGAAAUGCCCCAUCUACAUGCCAGAACACUGAAAUUUCUUACUGGUUUUCCAAAAAGAAAUUCAAGUAAUGUUGCUUGAGUUUCAAGCAUAUAAACAUAAAAUGCCACAAAUUAAGAUAUAAUAGAGUACAAUAAAGCAAUAUAAAAUAGGGCGGCUGGGUUACACAUAAAAGGUGGAUACACAUAGGAGCACGUCCCUGAUUCUUAAUGGCAGAGCAGUAAAGUGGGGUUGGCACCGGCCAUGUACAUCUGAUCCUGGUGGCAAUCAUUGAGCAGGAGCAUGCUCUGUCCACUUGCUGCUGCUUAGACUUGCUAUACCCAAACAUACAAGGCAAGCUAGCCUGGUCCUUCUGAGGAUGAAGACAGUCAGGAACUGAAUACGGAGUAGGUAAAAAGGAGAGAGACUGCUAGCAAGAUGUUCCAGUCAGCUCAGACCAGCCUUCCUUCAGCUGAGAAAGAUUAGCCAAGCAACCAUUAAAGCAGAUCAGUGCUCACUUAACGGCUAGCCAAGCUACAGGGAUUCCUCAGCUCAUCGGAAGGAGGCAGUCGAGAGUGCAGAAGCUUCAUAUUAAGCCUAGCAGGCAUUUCCAGCCAGAAGGGAAAGUUAUGUUACCCCUUUCGGUAGGGGAAUAUCCAUCUACAUGAUUAAACGAAACGUGGACCUUGGUUUGUGAAGAAGUGUCCAGAUACAGGUUUUAAGGUUAACUGAUGUGACGGAUCUGACCAACUUCAAAUUUCACAGCUACUGUGUAGCUCUGUUUUGUUUUUUUGUUCUUUUCCAAAAUAAAGUUUUUAUGAUUCUCUA
Molecule: RNA transcript, 4390 nt
Organism: Xenopus laevis (African clawed frog)
Lineage: Eukaryota; Metazoa; Chordata; Amphibia; Anura; Pipidae
Gene: hnrnpa1.L
Gene name: heterogeneous nuclear ribonucleoprotein A1 L homeolog
Exons: 12
Source: RefSeq, a predicted model, not a curated record